RNAcentral lists this long non-coding RNA (868 nucleotides) under Brassica napus (rape). RNAcentral describes it as "long non-coding RNA (BNAP_LNC003584)". The record is from RNAcentral. Lineage: Eukaryota; Viridiplantae; Streptophyta; Magnoliopsida; Brassicales; Brassicaceae.
UGGCAAAGACUACGAGGUGGAGAAAGAACCGAUAAAAAGCCACCUCUGCCGAGACUGAAACUGCCAAAUCUUAGAUAGAAAGGAGCAGCAACAAACAAAACGAUCAAACAAACCUUAAUCAUGGGUAGAUGUAUGAAUCCUCUGACUAUAAGCAGUAACCAAGACAAAACCCGAGCGUCCUCAUAUCUUACAUCAAUACGACGCAAACAAGGAAAAACUUCACCGCUCAGCCUCUUCCCAUUUUGGAUUAGGAUAUCAUCUUAAACUUUCGUCGGAUUCAACUAGUUAGUUUAUGAUGAAUGCAUAGUUGAAAUGUCCUCACUUCUCUCUCUCUUCAAAAUCCCUGACUUCUCUCUAGUUUUUAUUCAAAUUGAUAUCGUCGGUUCCGCAAUUCCAGCUGCUCUCUUGAGCCGGAGUCGGGUUAGCUUGUUACUAUGUUUUUCUUUGAGAUCUUCGGAUCUGAUCUUCAUUUUUUUUUUCUAUUUCUGUUCAACGGUUUAGCUACUUUCUAGAUUUUGAUAUUUGAUUUUGAAUCUAUGCCUUCUCGGUUUCUCCAGAGUGGUUGAAUCAGGGGUUGCUUUGAUACGUUCUUUGUCAUUUACCUUAAGAUCUUAUCGAGAUACAUCCAUCUCUUCGUCAUGCUUCAUUCGGGCGUUUCAAAUUGGUCUUACUCCACCAUCACCAUUUCCGGCUGAAGGCUUAGGAAUUUAAAAAGUUUUGUCUUGCUGGUGGUAGAAGAUUUGGUCUCUUAAUUGCAUGAACUGAUAUACGAGGUUUCGCAAGUUAAUGGAUUCGCUUUGUUUUGUUUCCUCGAUUUGUCUCUCUUAAAGAAAACUUGUUGAUGUUUUCAUGACAAUUUGUUUCCUUG